GGCUGUGUAAUGUAGUGGUUAGGGAGCUGGGCCUGCAACUCAGAGGUUGUAGGUUCAAGUCCCUGGUCA
This 69-nucleotide transfer RNA is filed under the name Anguilla anguilla (European eel). RNAcentral describes it as "tRNA-OTHER". The record is from RNAcentral. Lineage: Eukaryota; Metazoa; Chordata; Actinopteri; Anguilliformes; Anguillidae.